AACGAACGCUGGCGGCAGGCUUAACACAUGCAAGUCGAGCGAAGGCUUCGGCCUUAGCGGCGGACGGGUGAGUAACGCGUGGGAACGUGCCCGAAGGUACGGAAUAGUCCUGGGAAACUGGGUUUAAUGCCGUAUGUGCCCUCCUGUAGCGAUAUGGGAGGGGAAAGAUUUAUCGCCUUUGGAUCGGCCCGCGUUGGAUUAGGUAGUUGGUGGGGUAAUGGCCUACCAAGCCGACGAUCCAUAGCUGGUUUGAGAGGAUGAUCAGCCACACUGGGACUGAGACACGGCCCAGACUCCUACGGGUGGCAG
This 309-nucleotide ribosomal RNA is filed under the name uncultured Pseudomonadota bacterium. RNAcentral describes it as "bacterial SSU rRNA". It matches the Rfam family "Bacterial small subunit ribosomal RNA", at positions 29 to 351 of the family's 1533-position model. Lineage: Bacteria; Pseudomonadati; Pseudomonadota. The record is from RNAcentral.